CAUCCCUUCGUGGUGCGCGUUGAUUUGGUCAACGGCACACGGCUGGCCAGCGCAGGUUCAUCCACUGGCAGCCGACUCAUCCCUUCGUGGUGCGCGUUGAUUUGGUCAACGGCACACGGCUGGCCAGCGCAGGUUCAUCCACUGGCAGCCGACUCAUCCCUUCGUGGUGCGCGUUGAUUUGGUCAACGGCACACGGCUGGCCAGCGCAGGUUCAUCCACUGGCAGCCGACUCAUCCCUUCGUGGUGCGCGUUGACUCGGACAACGGCACACGACUGGCCAGCGCAGGUUCAUCCACUGGCAUCCGACUCAUCUCUUAGUGGUGCGCGUUGACUCGGACAACGGCACACGGCAGGCCCAGCGCAGGUUCAUCCACAGGCAGCUGACUCAUCCCUUCGUGGUGCGCGUUGACUCGGGUAACGGCACAUUGCUCACUCAGCGUGAGAUUCAU
Long non-coding RNA from Anopheles coluzzii, 449 nucleotides. RefSeq lists it as uncharacterized. NCBI's taxonomy places the organism in Eukaryota, Metazoa, Arthropoda, Insecta, Diptera, Culicidae. The transcript is spliced from 3 exons. The record is from RefSeq and is a predicted model, not a curated record.